This 253-nucleotide ribosomal RNA is filed under the name uncultured bacterium. RNAcentral describes it as "partial 16S ribosomal RNA". It matches the Rfam family "Bacterial small subunit ribosomal RNA", at positions 524 to 776 of the family's 1533-position model. The record is from RNAcentral.
UACGAAGGGGGCUAGCGUUGUUCGGAAUUACUGGGCGUAAAGCGCACGUAGGCGGAUACUUAAGUCAGGGGUGAAAUCCCGGGGCUCAACCCCGGAACUGCCUUUGAUACUGGGUAUCUCGAGUCCGGAAGAGGUGAGUGGAAUUCCGAGUGUAGAGGUGAAAUUCGUAGAUAUUCGGAGGAACACCAGUGGCGAAGGCGGCUCACUGGACCGGUACUGACGCUGAUGCGCGAAAGCGUGGGGAGCAAACGGG